GGGUUGUGAGGUUAAGCGACUAAGCGUACACGGUGGAUGCCCUGGCAGUCAGAGGCGAUGAAGGACGUGCUAAUCUGCGAUAAGCGUCGGUGAGGUGAUAUGAACCGUUAUAACCGGCGAUUUCCGAAUGGGGAAACCCAGUGUGUUUCGACACACUAUCAUUAACUGAAUCCAUAGGUUAAUGAGGCGAACCGGGGGAACUGAAACAUCUAAGUACCCCGAGGAAAAGAAAUCAACCGAGAUUCCCCCAGUAGCGGCGAGCGAACGGGGAGGAGCCCAGAGCCUGAAUCAGUGUGUGUGUUAGUGGAAGCGUCUGGAAAGGCGCGCGAUACAGGGUGAC
This 340-nucleotide ribosomal RNA is filed under the name Escherichia coli O177. RNAcentral describes it as "partial 23S ribosomal RNA". It matches the Rfam family "Bacterial large subunit ribosomal RNA", at positions 1 to 368 of the family's 2925-position model. Lineage: Bacteria; Pseudomonadati; Pseudomonadota; Gammaproteobacteria; Enterobacterales; Enterobacteriaceae. The record is from RNAcentral.